UAAAGCACUUAAGCAGUGAAGAGACCUAACGGUUAUACCCGUUAGCGAUGACAUUAGCUGCAGAAUAAGCACCGGCUAACUCUGUGCCAGCAGCCGCGGUAAUACAGAGGGUGCUGCGUUAUCGGAAUUACUGGGCGUAAAGCGAGCGUAGGUGGCUUGAUAAGUCAGAUGUGAAAUCCCCGGGCUUAACCUGGGAACUGCAUCUGAUACUGUUAGCUAGAGUAGGUGAGAGGGAAGUAGAAUUCCAGGUGUAGCGGUGAAAUGCGUAGAGAUCUGGAGGAAUACCGAUGGCGAAGGCAGCUUCCUGGCAUCAUACUGACACUGAGGCUCGAAAGCGUGGGUAGCAAACAGGAUUAGAUACCCUGGUAGUCCACGCCGUAAACGAUGUCUACUAG
This 395-nucleotide ribosomal RNA is filed under the name Psychrobacter celer. RNAcentral's name for it is "bacterial SSU rRNA". It matches the Rfam family "Bacterial small subunit ribosomal RNA", at positions 426 to 819 of the family's 1533-position model. Lineage: Bacteria; Pseudomonadati; Pseudomonadota; Gammaproteobacteria; Moraxellales; Moraxellaceae. The record is from RNAcentral.